RNAcentral lists this ribosomal RNA (492 nucleotides) under uncultured bacterium. RNAcentral describes it as "partial 16S ribosomal RNA". It matches the Rfam family "Bacterial small subunit ribosomal RNA", at positions 29 to 507 of the family's 1533-position model. The record is from RNAcentral.
AGUGAACGCUGGCGGUAGGCCUAACACAUGCAAGUCGAACGGCAGCACAGUAAGAGCUUGCUCUUACGGGUGGCGAGUGGCGGACGGGUGAGGAAUACAUCGGAAUCUACUUUUUCGUGGGGGAUAACGUAGGGAAACUUACGCUAAUACCGCAUACGACCUACGGGUGAAAGCAGGGGAUCUUCGGACCUUGCGCGAUUGAAUGAGCCGAUGUCGGAUUAGCUAGUUGGCGGGGUAAAGGCCCACCAAGGCGACGAUCCGUAGCUGGUCUGAGAGGAUGAUCAGCGACACUGGAACUGAGACACGGUCCAGACUCCUACGGGAGGCAGCAGUGGGGAAUAUUGGACAAUGGGCGCAAGCCUGAUCCAGCCAUACCGCGUGGGUGAAGAAGGCCUUCGGGUUGUAAAGCCGUUUUGUUGGGAAAGAAAAGUAGCAGGUUAAUACCCCGCCGUUCUGACGGUACCCAAAGAAUAAGCACCGGCUAACUUCGUG